RNAcentral lists this ribosomal RNA (1196 nucleotides) under Xylaria acuta. RNAcentral's name for it is "eukaryotic LSU rRNA". It matches the Rfam family "Eukaryotic large subunit ribosomal RNA", at positions 76 to 1299 of the family's 3401-position model. Lineage: Eukaryota; Fungi; Ascomycota; Sordariomycetes; Xylariales; Xylariaceae. The record is from RNAcentral.
UGCCCUAGUAACGGCGAGUGAAGCGGCAACAGCUCAAAUUUGAAAUCUGGCCCUCGGGUCCGAGUUGUAAUUUGUAGAGGAUGCUUUUGGCGCGGUGCCUUCCGAGUUCUCUGGAACGAGACGCCUUAGAGGGUGAGAGCCCCGUACGGUUGGACACCAAGCCUCUGUAAAGCUCCUUCGACGAGUCGAGUAGUUUGGGAAUGCUGCUCUAAAUGGGAGGUAAAUUUCUUCUAAAGCUAAAUAUUGGCCAGAGACCGAUAGCGCACAAGUAGAGUGAUCGAAAGAUGAAAAGCACUUUGAAAAGAGGGUUAAAUAGUACGUGAAAUUGUUGAAAGGGAAGCGUUUGCGACCAGACCUUUUCUUAGCGGAUCAUCCGGUGUUCUCACCGGUGCACUUCGCUAGGUUUAGGCCAGCAUCGGUUUCUGUAGGGGGAUAAAAGCCCUGGGAAUGUAGCUCCCUCGGGAGUGUUAUAGCCCUCUGCAUAAUACCCUUACAGGGACCGAGGACCGCGCUUCGGCAAGGAUGCUGGCGUAAUGGUCGUCAACGACCCGUCUUGAAACACGGACCAAGGAGUCGAACAUUUGUGCGAGUGUUUGGGUGUUAAACCCUCACGCGUAAUGAAGGUGAACGGAGGUGAGAGCCCCUAGGGGUGCAUCAUCGACCGAUCCUGAUGUCUUCGGAUGGAUUUGAGUAAGAGCAUAACUGUUCGGACCCGAAAGAUGGUGAACUAUGCGUGGAUAGGGUGAAGCCAGAGGAAACUCUGGUGGAGGCUCGCAGCGGUUCUGACGUGCAAAUCGAUCGUCAAAUCUGCGCAUGGGGGCGAAAGACUUAUCGAACCAUCUAGUAGCUGGUUACCGCCGAAGUUUCCCUCAGGAUAGCAGUGUUGUUCUUCAGUUUUAUGAGGUAAAGCGAAUGAUUAGGGACUCGGGGGCGCUUUUUAGCCUUCAUCCAUUCUCAAACUUUAAAUAUGUAAGAAGCCCUUGUUGCUUAAUUGAACGUGGGCAUUUGAAUGUACCAACACUAGUGGGCCAUUUUUGGUAAGCAGAACUGGCGAUGCGGGAUGAACCGAACGCGGGGUUAAGGUGCCGGAGUGGACGCUCAUCAGACACCACAAAAGGUGUUAGCACAUUUAGACAAUAGGACGGUGGCCAUGGAAGUCGGAAUCCGCUAAGGACUGUGUAACAACUCACCUAUAG